RNAcentral lists this ribosomal RNA (483 nucleotides) under uncultured bacterium. RNAcentral's name for it is "bacterial SSU rRNA". It matches the Rfam family "Bacterial small subunit ribosomal RNA", at positions 501 to 986 of the family's 1533-position model. The record is from RNAcentral.
CUACGUGCCAGCAGCCGCGGUAAUACGGAAGGUCCAGGCGUUAUCCGGAAUUAUUGGGUUUAAAGGGAGCGCAGGCGGGAGUGUAAGUCAGCUGUUAAAUAUCAGGGCCCAACUCUGUUAUGCAGUUGAAACUAUAUUUCUUGAGUACGCACAGGGAUGGCGGAAUUCAGGGUGUAGCGGUGAAAUGCUUAGAUAUCCUGAAGAACUCCGAUCGCGAAGGCAGCCAUCCGGAGCGUAACUGACGCUGAGGCUCGAAGGUGCGGGUAUCAAACAGGAUUAGAUACCCUGGUAGUCCGCACGGUAAACGAUGAAUACUCGCAGUUCGGUCUUUAUGGUCGAGCUGUCCAGCGAAAGCGUUAAGUAUUCCACCUGGGGAGUACGCCGGCAACGGUGAAACUCAAAGGAAUUGACGGGGGCCCGCACAAGCGGAGGAACAUGUGGUUUAAUUCGAUGAUACGCGAGGAACCUUACCCGGGCUUGAAC